UCGAGGGGCAGCACAAGGUAGCAAUAUCUGGUGGCGACCGGCGCACGGGUGAGUAACACGUAUGCAACCUACCUGUAAGCGGGGAAUAACCCGGAGAAAUCCGGACUAAUACCGCAUAACACUGUGAUUUCGCAUGAUAUUACAGUUAAAUAUUUAUAGCUUACAGAUGGGCAUGCGUAUGAUUAGCUAGUUGGUGAGGUAACGGCCCACCAAGGCAUCGAUCAUUAGGGGUUCUGAGAGGAAGGUCCCCCACACUGGUACUGAGAUACGGACCAGACUCCUACGGGAGGCAGCAGUGAGGAAUAUUGGUCAAUGGGCGAGAGCCUGAACCAGCCAAGUCGCGUGAAGGAAGAAGGUUCUAUGGAUUGUAAACUUCUUUUGUAAGGGAAUAAAGUGCGCUACGUGUAGCGUUUUGUAUGUACUUUACGAAUAAGGAUCGGCUAACUCCGUGCCAGCAGCCGCGGUAAUACGGAGGAUCCAAGCGUUAUCCGGAUUUAUUGGGUUUAAAGGGUGCGUAGGCGGACCUGAAAGUCAGUGGUGAAAGUUUGCAGCUCAACUGUAAAAUUGCCAUUGAAACUCUGGGUCUUGAGUGUAAAUGAGGUAGGCGGAAUGUGUUGUGUAGCGGUGAAAUGCUUAGAUAUAACACAGAACACCAAUUGCGAAGGCAGCUUACUAGGAUACAACUGACGCUGAGGCACGAAAGCGUGGGGAUCAAACAGGAUUAGAUACCCUGGUAGUCCACGCAGUAAACGAUGAAUACUAACUGUAUGCGAUAUACUGUAUGUGGUAAAGCGAAAGCGUUAAGUAUUCCACCUGGGGAGUACGUUCGCAAGAAUG
RNAcentral lists this ribosomal RNA (837 nucleotides) under uncultured bacterium. RNAcentral describes it as "bacterial SSU rRNA". It matches the Rfam family "Bacterial small subunit ribosomal RNA", at positions 62 to 896 of the family's 1533-position model. The record is from RNAcentral.